GCAAGUCGAACGCGAAAUUUUUUCUUCGGAGAAAAGAGUAGAGUGGCGCACGGGUGAGUAACGCGUAAGUAAUCUACCCUGGCAUCUGGGAUAACCCACCGAAAGGUGUGCUAAUACCGGAUACGUUGGAAACAAGAAAGGUGGCCUCUAUUUAUAAGCUACUGUGCUGGGAGGAGCUUGCGUACCAUUAGCUAGUUGGUAGGGUAAUGGCCUACCAAGGCGACGAUCAGUAUCUGGUUUGAGAGGACGAUC
This 252-nucleotide ribosomal RNA is filed under the name uncultured bacterium. Its description in RNAcentral is "partial 16S ribosomal RNA". It matches the Rfam family "Bacterial small subunit ribosomal RNA", at positions 57 to 305 of the family's 1533-position model. The record is from RNAcentral.